UACGUAGGGGGCAAGCGUUGUCCGGAAUCAUUGGGCGUAAAGAGCGCGUAGGCGGCCCGAUAAGUCCGCUGUGAAAGUCAAGGGCUUAACCCUUGAAUGCCGGUGGAAACUGUCGGGCUAGAGUCCGGAAGAGGCGAGUGGAAUUCCUGGUGUAGCGGUGAAAUGCGUAGAUAUCUGGAGGAACACCGGUGGCGAAGGCGGCAUCCUGGACCGGCAUUGACGCUGAGGCGCGAAAGCCAGGGGAGCAAACGGG
Molecule: ribosomal RNA, 253 nt
Filed under: uncultured bacterium
Lineage: Bacteria
Description: partial 16S ribosomal RNA
Rfam family: Bacterial small subunit ribosomal RNA
Source: RNAcentral